GCCGAGAUGGUGGAAUUGGUAGACACGCAGUCUUGAGGGGGCUGUGCUAGCAAUAGUGUGAGGGUUCGAGUCCCUCUCUCGGCA
RNAcentral lists this transfer RNA (84 nucleotides) under Candidatus Curtissbacteria bacterium RBG_13_40_7. Its description in RNAcentral is "tRNA-Leu". It matches the Rfam family "tRNA". From Rfam's summary of the family: Transfer RNA (tRNA) molecules are approximately 80 nucleotides in length. Their secondary structure includes four short double-helical elements and three loops (D, anti-codon, and T loops). Further hydrogen bonds mediate the characteristic L-shaped molecular structure. tRNAs have two regions of fundamental functional importance: the anti-codon, which is responsible for specific mRNA codon recognition, and the 3' end, to which the tRNAs corresponding amino acid is attached (by aminoacyl-tRNA synthetases). tRNAs cope with the degeneracy of the genetic code in two manners: having more than one tRNA (with a specific anti-codon) for a particular amino acid; and 'wobble' base-pairing, i.e. permitting non-standard base-pairing at the 3rd anti-codon position. The record is from RNAcentral. Lineage: Bacteria; Candidatus Curtissiibacteriota.